AUGGAUUCAGCGUCAGCAGAAGAUCUUACAUGUCCUGUGUGUAAAGAAGUCUUCAAGGAUCUUUUUGUUUUAACAUGUAAACACAAAUACUGUACAGAGUGUCUUCGAUCAUUCUGGAGAGACACAGAAACAAAGUGGUGUCCUUUGUGCAGUAGAAGAUCCUCACAAGGGCUUCCUCCACAUAUGUGCAUUUUACACAGAGAGAAACCCCAGCUCUACUGUGUGGAGGACCAACAGUUCGUGUGUUUAACAUGUGUUAACUCUGAAGAACACACCAAUCACACAUUCAAAUCCAUCAGAGGAGCCAUUUCAUCAUAUAAGGAGACAAAAGAGAGAAGUUCAUCAGAGUCAGAGGAGAUCUGCAGUUUACAUGAUAAGAAACUCCAGCUCUUCUGUCAGGAAGAUGAACAGCCUAACAAACAACUUGUGUGUUUAGAGUGUGUUACCUCUGAAAAACACACCAAUCACACAGUCAAACACAUUAGUGAAGUUGAGAAACUCAAAACAGAAAUAAAGACAUUAGAAGAGAAUCGUAAACACAAAGAAAACAUUAAAGGAGAGUUUGAGGAAUCAGCUAAACACAUCAAGUUUAAGGUCGACUACACACAGAAACAGAUUGAACAUCAGUUUGAGAUGCUUCACCAGAAACUCGAAGAGGAAAAACAAGCAGCAAUCGCUGCACUGAGGGAGGAAGAGGAGGAGAUAAUGAAGAAGACAGUGGAGGAGAUCGAGAGUCAGAUCUCAACACUUACAGAUGCAAUCAAAGACACAGAGGAGAUGCUGAACGCCAGUGAUGACUGCUUACUGAAGGACGCUGAUGUCUUUAUAAGAAGAGUCCAGAUCUCUCAGCCGUAUCCAGAACUGCCAUCUGCAGCUUCAGUAAAUGUGUCACGGUACUUGGGGAACCUGAUGUCCAACAUCAAGAAAAAGAUGGAGGAGACGAUUAAUAACAUUUUCCAGUACAGUAAGUCUACAGAACUUCUCUGA
This is a non-coding RNA of Danio rerio (zebrafish), 987 nucleotides long. NCBI's taxonomy places the organism in Eukaryota, Metazoa, Chordata, Actinopteri, Cypriniformes, Danionidae. The record is from Ensembl.